RNAcentral lists this ribosomal RNA (434 nucleotides) under Chromodoris magnifica. Its description in RNAcentral is "partial 16S ribosomal RNA". It matches the Rfam family "Bacterial large subunit ribosomal RNA", at positions 1817 to 2597 of the family's 2925-position model. The record is from RNAcentral. Lineage: Eukaryota; Metazoa; Mollusca; Gastropoda; Nudibranchia; Chromodorididae.
AGCCUUUGGAGAGGAUUAAAGGUUAUACCUGCCCAAUGUUGUAUUAAUGGCCGCGGUACUUUGACCGUGCUAAGGUAGCACAAUCAAUUGGCCCUUAAUUAGGGUCAGGUAUGAAUGGAGUUACGGGGCUUAGCUGUCUCUAGACUAUUUAAUUGAAGUUGCUAUAUAGGUGAAAAAGCCUGUAUUAAGAAAAAAGACGAGAAGACCCUUAGAGUUUUACUUAAAAAAGAGUUAUUUCUUCACUAGUUUUGUUGGGGCAACAUAGGAGAAGAACCAAACCUCCUAAAGGAUAUAGACCGAUGUUUUUAAAUAUGAAUAAACUACCUUAGGGAUAACAGCAUAAUUUUAAAAAUAAGUUUGUGACCUCGAUGUUGGACUAGGAAACUUAAGGGCUAGCCGCCUUUUGGUAAGGUUCUGUUCGAACUAUAAUUCCU